AUUGCCAGCAAAGUAAGGGAGGAUGCUGUCUGACAUCUGAUUCAGGUAUGCUACCUGUGUGAAAGAGAAAAUACAGCAUGUUGAGUUUUAUUGCCUUGGAGAAUUUUUAAGCAAGAGACUGAAACUGUUGGGAAUGACUCUGGAAGGAAGAACCAAGGGGUCUUUUUAGUGAGGACACACAUUCUAAAACUAGGAUUAAUUAGGAGAUCUGGGGGAAUGAAGAUGUUUUCCCAUAUCUGUGAGAAUAAAUUAAGGCACAAAUAUUUCAUCAAACAUACAGUGCAUGAACUGCUGUUGAUAGCCUGGAUGAGAAACCCAGCACAUAUGACCUCGCUUCUGAUGUACUGUGGAGAUGGAGGGAUGGAUGGCAGGGAAACUGACUUCAUUGCCACAGUGUAAGUGUUACUGAAAAAGAAGAACACAUGUGAGAAUAGUUGUCAGGCAGUAAAUUUCUAUAGAAAUUUACACUGGCAUUUAUUAAUUUGGUUUUGUGGUUCUAGGGAUUAAAUCCAGGGCUUACUGCACCCUAGGCAAGUUCUCCACCACUGGCUUCAUCCCCAGCCCAUGGGUGACUUCAUUGUCCUGGCAGGAGGGAGCUCUGAAAACUAGACCUCCUCUGGAUGAGUGAUCACAUAAAAAAAAAAAAAAAAAAAAAAAAAAAAAAAAACCUUCUCUAUAGUGACCUUCAAACAUAGUGAAUAAGGCUUUCUUUUCUAGCAGACAAGGCCAGGACACCAGAGGAGCUGUAUGUACUCACUCAUCUUUGAGAGGCUUUCUUCGUGACACAAGUACUACGAAGUCUUUGGGUUUAUCUCCAUUUGCCACAGAACAGGGUAUUUUGAAGUUACUGUUGAAAUUCUUCAUCUUAUAAUCUAUUCCCAUGGCAACAAGCUGUGAGAAGACAAGCAAACAUGAGGUUAGGACUUCAACCACAGGAAUCAAGCAGAUGGAAGGAAAGCAAACUGUGAAGAACUGACCUUUAUUGAAACAUAUAUCUGUAUCACGACAUCAUCCUCACCAUGACAAUAAAGAAAUGGGAAAUCAACUACAAGAAGCUUAGGCAGCAAACAAGUGAUUAUUUGCCUCUGUAAAAACACAUCCUUGCUGGGCCAUGUGUAUCUUUAAUUCCAGCCAGCAAAGAAAGGCCUGGUGUAGACUGUGAGCACUAGUCAAAUGCAAACAAAAUCAGGUGGGGCCCCACAUGGCUGCCAUCAGCACAGAAACAAAAGGAAGUCCACUGGUGAAAAUCCCCAGAGAAGGUUGGCGAUUAGUUGUCUCUCGACCUGGCUAUGGUGCACUGCAGAAUCGGAGGAGCUGUUUGCAUGCUUGCUUUGGGGUUGUCGUGGUUUCCUUUGGGGAAUCAGGGUGUGAGGAGACUGUCCUAUUGGGCUGAACGCUUGCUUAGAGUUGAAUCAUGGUCCCCUCCUGCCCACAUUCCUUUGGUAGAGUCCUAAUCUCUUAUACCUUGUCAUGUGACUUUAUAUGGAAAUGGGGUCUUUCUCAAUAUGAGUCACUAAAAUGAAGUCAUAUUGCAGGAAGGUAGGCCCAAUCGACUGACCGCUUUAUAGAGGGGAAGGUGGACACAGACAUGCACACAGGGAGGACACUGUGUAGAUGAAGGCAGAAGUUGGGUGGUGUAUCUAUGAGCCAAGGCUCAGUGAGAAGUGAGGAAUUAAUGCUUCCUCCUCACAAGCAAUCAGCCUGCUUACACUUGAUCUCAGAUAUCCCCUUUCAGAAGAGAGAGCCAAUGGUUUCCUAUUGUUUAAGUCACCCAGUGGGUGGUCCUCUGUUGUGACAGCCUUAGGAAAUUAAACCAGUGGUUUUCCAGUGAGCUGCUCUCCAGCUUGCAGACACAUUUUAUCUCUAGCCAAAAGGAGUAGCCACCAUUACAUUCUACUUCCACAAAGAAAGCUCACUGACUUAUCCAUACUGUAUGAAUGAAUGACAUUUAUUCCUUCCCUGAGAAGAUGAAUGUAGCAGGAAGUCCUUCUUAUUAUCUUGCUACCUGAACCAAUACUAUAGAUGCAAAGGAGACAAAGAAAGGCGGUGGUCCAUUUUGCCUCUCUUUAGAUUUGCCAGAGAACAGCCACUGUGGAGGUUUGAAUUAGAUGUUCCACAUAAGUCUCUGGCAUUUGAAAACUUGGUCUCCAGUUGGCAGAACUGUUUGGGAAGGGUUAAGAGGUGUGGUCUUGUUGGAGAAGGUGUGUCACUGGGGUGGGCUUAAGGUUUUAAAAACCCAUGCCAUUUCCAGUGUGCUCUCUCUGCCUUUGCUUGAGGUUGAGAUGUGAACUCCUUGCUGUUCCAGUCAUCCAUUGUGGACACUAACCCUCUGGAAUGUAAGCCCAAUAAAACCUUUUCUUUUAUAAGUUGCCUUGGUCAUGGUGCCUCGUCACAGUAUUAGAACAGUAACCAAUCCAGCCAUCUUUGGCCUGAUGGAAAGAUUCUCUAAGAAGAGUUAUCCAAGAAAAUGGCUUCCCUUUACUCAUGGGGACAGAAGUAGACAUAAUUCAUAACUAACUCCAGUGUUUGGGGUGAUUGGGCAGUUUUUGUCCGAGAUGAAGCUCAACAUGAGUAGCUCCAGACUCACUGAAGCAAGUCUGCCUGAUUCCAUCAGUGGAACUGUUUCCAUCAUCGUGCUCCCUCUGCUCAGAUCUCUGUUUGGAUGCCAAUCAAUAUCACAAUAAUCAUGUUAGACUUUUUGUACCAAUUGAUAAAUAUGUUACUGAGAUUGCAUUAUAGACAGGAAGAGGAAACUAUUUUUUUCGAAACAGUGUUUCCCUUCUUAUCCUGGAAUUCAUUCUAUAGACCAUGCUGGCCUUGAUCUCACAGAGAUCCACUUGCUUCUGCCUCCUAAGUGCUAGGAUUAAAGGUGUGUGCCACCACCCCCCAUCGGAAACUGCUUUCUAUAGAGGCCUAAUCUGUAGAGACACCAGGGAUUACCAUAGAUGACAAGGGCUGGGAUGGAUAA
This is a non-coding RNA of Cricetulus griseus (Chinese hamster), 2968 nucleotides long. NCBI's taxonomy places the organism in Eukaryota, Metazoa, Chordata, Mammalia, Rodentia, Cricetidae. The record is from RefSeq and is a predicted model, not a curated record.